AUUGAACGCUGGCGGUAGGCCUAACACAUGCAAGUCGAGCGGCAGAACAGAGCUUGCUCCUGGAUACAGCGGCCGACGGGUGAGUGAUGCAUAGGUACCUCCCAAGUAGCGGUGUAUAACGUGCGGACACAGGCACUCUUACCCCAUUCGUCCAGAGGGCGUAAGUGGGAGAUCAUCGGAUCUCCCGCUAUCGGGUGAGCCUAUGUCGGAUUAGCUAGUUGGUGGGGUAAAGGCCUACCAAGGCGACGAUCCGUAACUGGUCUGAGAGGAUGAUCAGCCACACUGGAACUGAGACACGGUCCAGACUCCUACGGGAGGCAGCAGUGGGGAAUAUUGGACAAUGGGCGAAAGCCUGAUCCAGCCAUGCCGCGUGUGUGAAGAAGGUCUUCGGAUUGUAAAGCCCUUUUAGUGGGGAAGAAGGGCAGUAAGUUAAUACCUCGCUGUUCUGACGGUACCAAAAGAAUAAGCUCCGGCUAACUUCGUG
This 484-nucleotide ribosomal RNA is filed under the name uncultured bacterium. Its description in RNAcentral is "partial 16S ribosomal RNA". It matches the Rfam family "Bacterial small subunit ribosomal RNA", at positions 30 to 507 of the family's 1533-position model. The record is from RNAcentral.